UUUUUGCUUAAAAACAAUGAAGUGUGCAAGUCAGAUUUCUUAAUGAAAGUGAAUGAAUAUAUAGAAUAAUAUUCCUGAAAAUUCCACAUAUUUUAAUUCUUGGACUGCUAAAUUUUUCAUAUGUGGCCAUAUAUCUAUACAGGUGUUUGGGUGUUUAUGUAAAUUUGCCAGGCUUGGUGUGUAUGUGGGUAUGCUUCUGUAAGUAUCUGUGUAUGUGUAUAAACCAUCAACAGUAAAGUAUAGUAUUUGUGAUACAGCCUUAUAAGUUACUGGCUCUUGUGGAAUUAUACAUAAAAUCUUCAUGUAAUAAAGUGUUACUCUGUGACAUAUUAGUUGGGGCAUGUUUAAAUUAAAAAGCAGUUUGCUCAACUGGUAUGGCAAAUGGUUCAAAAUAUUCAGAUAUACUGAUUUAUAAAAAAAUUGAAAUUCAGCUAAAUCCAAUAUUGUGUUAACUAUUAAAUAUAAGUAACAUUAAUGUUUAUAUUGAUAUAUCUUUGUUUUCAAUUAUUAACAAGAUCGAAUACUAUGAUUUUUUUCUAUUGUGUGUGUAUGGAUGGCUUGUAGUGGUUGCCAAUCACUAUACUCUAAAAAAAUGAAACAUUGAUACAGUUGCAGAUUGUCAAGUAUAAUGUUGGAACAUAAAUAGAAGAAAAUCCAGAGUAUAUUUGAUAUGAAGUAAGUUUAAUAACAAAGCCAGAUAACCUGUAAGGCGAUUCUGUAUGUUCUUUCAAAACUCUAAACUGUUGACAAAUUUUGAAUAUACUUGCUGUAUGUGUGUAUAUAUCUACAUAAAUAUAUACACACUUGAAAAUGUUAAUCGAAUGAAUUUACUAUAUAUGCAUACAUUUGCUCAUUUAUGCAUAUUUGCAUUAACCUUGCUAGCAUCUCUAUUUGUGCAUGUUAGUGACAACUGUCUUUGAUUGAAAUAUUGCACAGAGGCAUAGUGUGAAAAAUAGAGAUACACUGAAUUCAAUAUACCAAUUGCCUGAUAUAGCGUGUUGUACUGUCAGUUGAAAAAUAUUUGUAAUUUUGUGCCUGUUAUGCAUGUGGAAAAAAGAGGAAAUCAGAGGCCCUCACUAUAAUUUUUAAGGGUGCAUGACAUAUGAUGUCUUUAAAAUGUGGUUCAUUUUAGUAGAUUAUGGAUAAAUUCCAAGAUAGUAUAAAUGAUGCAUGUAAUACCUGAGUGUUUGUAUUAUAUAUGGCCACAAAAUGUUUUUGAAGCCAGGGUAGUAGAUAUCUAAAAGUUAUAGGCAAAGAAGUAUGAAAGUUAACUUUCUGUGAUGUGUUUUUGAGGAGUUGAUACUCAUCAGUAAGCAAGGAAUUGAGUUUAUUUUUUCUAAGAACUCUUUACUUUGAAAUAUAUUAUGAAUGUUGUAAAUUUGGAUAACGUUUUUAUAAAGAGGUUACAUACUUUCUGCUCACAGUUUCAGUUGAUUGGAUGUGUAUUCUCUUUAAAAAAAAACAUUUUGUGUUAAAACAUUUGACACAGCAAUAUAUUUUUUAAAUCCAUCAACUAAGUCCAUCAGCAGAGCUUUAUAGAGCUAAGGGUUGACAAAAUGUUUCAUUGAACUACCCAAUUUUGAAAGUUCAGUUACUUUGUGCUGUGGUUUCAUUGUAAAAUGUUGUACCUUGUGUUUCACACUGGACCAUGUUAUUCCUCUUGAAGUUAACUUUGUGACACUUACCACCUUAGAAUAACUAUAUAAUAAACAGGAAAAACUGC
Molecule: long non-coding RNA, 1723 nt
Filed under: Homo sapiens (human)
Lineage: Eukaryota; Metazoa; Chordata; Mammalia; Primates; Hominidae
Description: non-protein coding lnc-SOHLH2-3:1
Source: RNAcentral